UACAGAGGGGGCAAGCGUUAUUCGGAAUUAUUGGGCGUAAAGGGCGCGUAGGCGGCUUGGCAAGUGGAAGGUGAAAUCCCUCGGCUUAACCGAGGAACUGCCCUCCAAACUGCUUAGCUUGAGACCGGGAGAGGUGAGUGGAAUUCCCAGUGUAGCGGUGAAAUGCGUAGAUAUCUGGAGGAAUACCGGUGGCGAAGGCGGCAUCCUGGACCAUUACUGACGCUGAGGUGCGAAAGCGUGGGGAGCAAACAGG
This 253-nucleotide ribosomal RNA is filed under the name uncultured bacterium. Its description in RNAcentral is "partial 16S ribosomal RNA". It matches the Rfam family "Bacterial small subunit ribosomal RNA", at positions 524 to 776 of the family's 1533-position model. The record is from RNAcentral.